RNAcentral lists this ribosomal RNA (441 nucleotides) under uncultured bacterium. RNAcentral's name for it is "bacterial SSU rRNA". It matches the Rfam family "Bacterial small subunit ribosomal RNA", at positions 360 to 793 of the family's 1533-position model. The record is from RNAcentral.
AAUAUUGCACAAUGGGCGCAAGCCUGAUGCAGCCAUGACCGCGUGUAUGAAGAAGGCCUUCGGGUUGUAAAGUACUUUCAGCAGUGAGGAAGUGGGUAUGUUAAUAGCAUAUUCAUUUGACGUUAGCUGCAGAAGAAGCACCGGCUAACUCCGUGCCAGCAGCCGCGGUAAUACGGAGGGUGCGAGCGUUAAUCGGAAUUACUGGGCGUAAAGCGCAUGCAGGUGGUUUGUUAAGUCAGAUGUGAAAGCCCGGGGCUCAACCUCGGAAUUGCAUUUGAAACUGGCAAACUAGAGUACUGUAGAGGGGGUAGAAUUUCAGGUGUAGCGGUGAAAAUGCGUAGAGAUCUGAAGGAAUACCGGUGGCGAAGGCGGCCCCCUGGACAGAUACUGACACUCAGAUGCGAAAGCGUGGGGAGCAAACAGGAUUAGAUACCCUGGUAG